This 279-nucleotide unclassified non-coding RNA is filed under the name plant metagenome. Its description in RNAcentral is "partial contains small subunit ribosomal RNA, internal transcribed spacer 1, and 5.8S ribosomal RNA". The stretch from base 226 to 279 matches the Rfam family "5.8S ribosomal RNA", at positions 1 to 54 of the family's 154-position model. The record is from RNAcentral.
UUUCCGUAGGUGAACCUGCGGAAGGAUCAUUAACGAGUACGGGUCUUCAAAGCCCGACCUCCCACCCUUAUGCUUAUUGAACCUCUGUUGCUCCGGCGGGCCGGUCCCACGGCCGACGGGGGAGUCGCCGCGCGGCCCCCUCUGGCCAGCGUCCGCUGAUGGCCAAACUCAAAAAACUGACUGAAACGUGUCACGAUGCCUCAGCCUAUGAUAAAAUUAAAGCAAAACUUAAAACAACGGAUCUCUUGGUUCUGGCCUCGAUGAAGAACGCAGCAGAUC